CGUCGGCGUGACGUUCUAUUAAUUAUGAUCUCGUAUACACCGUACCGAACGGUGGCUGCAGUGUACUCGUAUACGGUACGCGCCUUUACGUCACAAGUACGCGGUCAGAGACGGAUAAUAAUUGCGGGGAAAGAAAAAAAAAAAAAAUUUGCGGCGCAACAAUAUUGUAACCGUUUGUGCGGUAUUGUCGUGUACGGGCGUCGUCGGGAGCGCGGCGAUAAUUUGUACGACUC
This is a non-coding RNA of Cinara cedri, 233 nucleotides long. The record is from the annotation of a GenBank genome assembly. NCBI's taxonomy places the organism in Eukaryota, Metazoa, Arthropoda, Insecta, Hemiptera, Aphididae.